Non-coding RNA from Schizosaccharomyces pombe (fission yeast), 247 nucleotides. NCBI's taxonomy places the organism in Eukaryota, Fungi, Ascomycota, Schizosaccharomycetes, Schizosaccharomycetales, Schizosaccharomycetaceae. The record is from the annotation of a GenBank genome assembly.
CUUGUCCGAUUUAUAUCUAUCGGUAAUUACGAAGACAAAAGCUGAUUAUAUGUACAACACAUUCACUGUGCUUUCUUCAAAUUUUAAAUUAGUGCUAAAAAAACAUUGGUUUAAUCGUAAGGUAUAUUUUGUUUAGUCAAGGUUAAUUUCAUUUAAUACCCGAUAAGAUUAAAAUCUAAUCACAACAAAGGUGUAAGCUACAAAAGAACUUUUUAAUAAGAAACAAACAUUAUAAUUCCAUUUAAAU